Molecule: microRNA, 21 nt
Filed under: Pteropus alecto (black flying fox)
Lineage: Eukaryota; Metazoa; Chordata; Mammalia; Chiroptera; Pteropodidae
Description: pal-miR-10013-5p
Source: miRBase by way of RNAcentral
CGGCCCUCAUUCUCCCUGCAG